AUACGUUGGGAGCGAGCGUUGUCCGGAAUUACUGGGUGUAAAGGGUGCGUAGGCGGGACUGCAAGGCAGAUGUGAAAUGCCGGGGCUCAACCCCGGAGCUGCAUUUGAAAAUGCGGUUCUUGAGUGAGGUAGAGGUAAGCGGAAUUCCUAGUGUAGCGGUGAAAUGCGUAGAUAUUAGGAGGAACAUCGGUGGCGAAGGCGGCUUACUGGGCCUUUACUGACGCUGAGGCACGAAAGCGUGGGGAGCAAACAGGAUUAGAUACCCUGGUAGUCCACGCUGUAAACGAUGAUGACUAGGUGUGGGGGGACUGAACCCUUCCGUGCCGCAGUUAACACAAUAAGUCAUCCACCUGGGGAGUACGGCCGCAAGGUUGAAACUCAAAUGAAUUGACGGGG
This 396-nucleotide ribosomal RNA is filed under the name uncultured bacterium. RNAcentral describes it as "partial 16S ribosomal RNA". It matches the Rfam family "Bacterial small subunit ribosomal RNA", at positions 523 to 918 of the family's 1533-position model. The record is from RNAcentral.